UACAGAGGUCUCAAGCGUUGUUCGGAUUCAUUGGGCGUAAAGGGUGCGUAGGUGGUUUGGUAAGUUGAAGGUGAAAUCUCGGAGCUUAACUCCGAAACUGCCUUCAAUACUGCCGGACUUGAGGACUGUAGAGGAGAAUGGAAUUCACGGUGUAGCAGUGAAAUGCGUAGAUAUCGUGAGGAAGACCAGUGGCGAAGGCGAUUCUCUGGGCAGUUCCUGACACUGAGGCACGAAGGCUAGGGGAGCAAACGGG
Molecule: ribosomal RNA, 253 nt
Filed under: uncultured bacterium
Lineage: Bacteria
Also listed under: 1 other name
Description: partial 16S ribosomal RNA
Rfam family: Bacterial small subunit ribosomal RNA
Source: RNAcentral